Phacochoerus africanus (Common warthog) is the source of this 105-nucleotide small nuclear RNA. The record is from RefSeq and is a predicted model, not a curated record. Lineage: Eukaryota; Metazoa; Chordata; Mammalia; Artiodactyla; Suidae.
GCUCACUUCGGCAGUGCAUAUAUUAAAGGUGGAACAUCACAGAGAAGAUGAGCAUCACCCCUGUGCAAGGAUGGCAUGCAAAUUCAUGAAGUAUUCCAUGUUUUU